This 168-nucleotide ribosomal RNA is filed under the name uncultured rumen bacterium. Its description in RNAcentral is "partial 16S ribosomal RNA". It matches the Rfam family "Bacterial small subunit ribosomal RNA", at positions 340 to 524 of the family's 1533-position model. The record is from RNAcentral.
UACGGGAGGCAGCAGUCGGGAAUAUUGCGCAAUGGAGGAAACUCUGACGCAGUGACGCCGCGUGCAGGAUGAAGGUUUUCGGAUUGUAAACUGCUUUAGACAGGGAAGAAAAAGGACAGUACCUGUAGAAUAAGCUCCGGCUAACUACGUGCCAGCAGCCGCGGUAAU